This 502-nucleotide ribosomal RNA is filed under the name uncultured Pseudomonadota bacterium. RNAcentral's name for it is "bacterial SSU rRNA". It matches the Rfam family "Bacterial small subunit ribosomal RNA", at positions 376 to 896 of the family's 1533-position model. Lineage: Bacteria; Pseudomonadati; Pseudomonadota. The record is from RNAcentral.
CGCAAGCCUGAUCCAGCCAUGCCGCGUGAGUGAUGAAGGCCCUAGGGUUGUAAAGCUCUUUUGUCCGGGAAGAUAAUGACGGUACCGGAAGAAUAAGCCCCGGCUAACUUCAUGCCAGCAGCCGCGGUAAUACGAAGGGGGCUAGCGUUGCUCGGAAUCACUGGGCGUAAAGGGCGCGUAGGCGGAUCUUUAAGUCGGGGGUGAAAGCCCAGGGCUCAACCCUGGAAUUGCCUUCGAUACUGAAGAUCUCGAGACCGGAAGAGGUAAGUGGAACUGCGAGUGUAGAGGUGAAAUUCGUAGAUAUUCGCAAGAACACCAGUGGCGAAGGCGGCUUACUGGUCCGGUUCUGACGCUGAGGCGCGAAAGCGUGGGGAGCAAACAGGAUUAGAUACCCUGGUAGUCCACGCUGUAAACGAUGGAUGCUAGCCGUUGGCGAGCUUGCUCGUCAGUGGCGCAGUUAACGCUUUAAGCAUCCCGCCUGGGGAGUACGGUCGCAAGAUUA